This 2887-nucleotide ribosomal RNA is filed under the name Cytophagales bacterium WSM2-2. Its description in RNAcentral is "23S ribosomal RNA". It matches the Rfam family "Bacterial large subunit ribosomal RNA". Lineage: Bacteria; Pseudomonadati; Bacteroidota; Cytophagia; Cytophagales. The record is from RNAcentral.
AAGUAAUGAAGGGCGUAUGGGGGAUGCCUAGGCUCUCAGAGGCGAAGAAGGACGUGGUAAGCUGCGAAAAGCUGCGGGGAUCCGCAAACAGGACGUGAUCCGCAGGUGUCCGAAUGAGGCAACUCUCCCGAUUGAAGAUCGGGAACCCACCGCAAGGUGAGGAGCAGACCCAGGGAACUGAAACAUCUAAGUACCUGGAGGAAGAGAAAAUAAACUAAUGAUUGCGCCAGUAGUGGCGAGCGAAAGCGCAAGAGCCCAAACCUUACCAGUUACGGCUGGUAGGGGGUAAUAGGACUACAUAAUUGAAACUGAAUCAGAUCUGAACAGCCUGGGAAGGCUGGCCAUAGCGGGUGAUAGCCCCGUAAGAGAAAGAGGAGGGGAGAGGUAGUAUCCUGAGUAGGGCGGGGUCGGAGACGCCCCGUUUGAAUUUGCCGGCACCAUCCGGUAAGGCUAAAUACAUCUGAGAGACCGAUAGUGAACCAGUACUGUGAAGGAAAGGUGAAAAGCACUCCGAACAGGAGGGUGAAAAGAGAACCUGAAACCAUACGCUUACAAGCGGUCAGAGCCCCGCAAUGGGGUGAUGGCGUGCCUUUUGCAUAAUGAGCCUACGAGUUACUUUUACUGGCGAGGUUAAGCAGCUUAAAGCUGCGCAGCCGGAGCGAAAGCGAGUCUGAAUAGGGCGUAUAGUCAGUAGUAGUAGACGCGAAACUUUGUGAUCUACCCUUGGUCAGGAUGAAGCCCCGUUAACACGGGGUGGAGGUCCGAACUAGUAAACGUUGAAAAGUUUUUGGAUGAACUGAGGGUAGGGGUGAAAGGCUAAUCAAACUGAGAAAUAGCUCGUACUCCCCGAAAUGCUUUUAGGAGCAGUGUGGAGGUUGAGUUUGUUAGAGGUAGAGCUACCAAUUGGACUAGGGGGAGUCACAUCCUACCAAAUCCAGAUGAACUCCGAAUGCUAACAAAUAUACUCUGCAAUGAGGGCGCGGGUGCUAAGGUCCGUGUCCGAGAGGGAAAGAACCCAGACCUGCAGCUAAGGUCCCUAAAUCUAUACUAAGUUGAACUAAGGCGGUCCAGUUGCCGAGACAGCCAGGAGGUUAGCUUGGAAGCAGCUAUUCCUUUAAAGAGUGCGUAACAGCUCACUGGUCGAGCGACAGGGCAUCGAUAAUAAUCGGGCAUCAAGUAUAGUACCGAAGCUCAGGAUUUAGUAGCAAUACUAAGUGGUAGGGGAGCAUUCUAACAUCGGCGAAGCCGAGGGAUAACCCGGAGGUGGAGAGGUUAGAAAAGCAAAUGUAGGCAUAAGUAACGAUAAGGCAGGUGAGAACCCUGCCCACCGAUAGACUAAGGUUUCCGCGGCAAUGUUAAUCAACCGCGGGUAAGUCAGGACCUAAGAUAAAGCCGAAAGGCGUAGUCGAUGGACAACUGGUUAAUAUUCCAGUACUACCGUAAUGAGCGAUGGAGAGAAGGAGUAGUGACAGCUUCGCGCCCCGACGGAUGUGGGCGUUGAAAGGCGUAGGUAUAUUUUGUGUAGGUAAAUCCGCACGAGAUGCUGAAACCCAAUAGUACUUGGAGGCUUCGGCCGAAGAGAUAGAAAGCGUAAUCAGACUUCCGAGAAAAUCUUCUAAGCAUAUGAUUAUGGUACCUGUACCGCAAACCGACACAGGUAGUCAAGGAGAGAAUCCUAAGGUGCUCGAGUGAUCCAUGGCUAAGGAACUCGGCAAAAUAACCCUGUAACUUCGGGAGAAGGGGAGCCACUAGCAAUAGUGGUCGCAGAGAAAUGGCCCAGGCGACUGUUUAACAAAAACACAUGGCUUUGCGAAAUCGAAAGAUGAAGUAUAAGGCCUGACACCUGCCCGGUGCUGGAAGGUUAAGGGGGGGAGUUAGCGGGUAACUGCGAAGCUCUGAACUGAAGCCCCAGUAAACGGCGGCCGUAACUAUAACGGUCCUAAGGUAGCGAAAUUCCUUGUCGGGUAAGUUCCGACCUGCACGAAUGGUGUAACGAUCUGGGCGCUGUCUCAGCCAUGAGCUCGGUGAAAUUGUAGUCACGGUGAAGAUGCCGUGUACCCGUCACGGGACGGAAAGACCCCAUGCACCUUUACUAUAGCUUCACAUUGGCAUUGGGAGGAUGAUGUGUAGGAUAGGUGGGAGGCAAUGAUCCUGCGGCGCUAGUCGUAGGGGAGUCAACGGUGAAAUACCACCCUUUAUUUUCUUGAUGCCUAAUCUCACUUGCGUGAGAGACAUUGUGUGGUGGGUAGUUUGACUGGGGUGGUCGCCUCCGAAAGUGUAUCGGAGGCUUUCAAAGGUAUGCUCAGUACGCUUGGUAACCGUACGUGGAGUGCAAUAGCACAAGCAUGCUUGACAGUGAGACCGACGGGUCGAGCUGGUGCGAAAGCAGGAUAUAGUGAUCCGGUGGUUCUGUAUGGAAGGGCCAUCGCUCAAAGGAUAAAAGGUACGCUGGGGAUAACAGGCUGAUCUCCCCCAAGAGCUCAUAUCGACGGGGAGGUUUGGCACCUCGAUGUCGGCUCGUCACAUCCUGGGGCUGGAGAAGGUCCCAAGGGUUGGGCUGUUCGCCCAUUAAAGUGGCACGCGAGCUGGGUUCAGAACGUCGUGAGACAGUUCGGUCCCUAUCUGUGAUGGGCGUAGGAAGCUUGAGGGGUCCUGAUCUUAGUACGAGAGGACCGGAUUGGACCAACCGCUGGUGUACCGGUUGUAGCGCCAGCUGCACAGCCGGGUAGCUAUGUUGGGAGUGGAUAAGCGCUGAAAGCAUCUAAGCGCGAACCCCACCCCGAGAUGAGGCUUCCAUUGAGAGCCGUCAGAGACUAUGACGUAGAUAGGCCACAGGUGUAAAGACAGUAAUGUCAAAGCUGAGUGGUACUAAUGGCUCGAACGCUUC